Molecule: transfer RNA, 53 nt
Filed under: Escherichia coli
Lineage: Bacteria; Pseudomonadati; Pseudomonadota; Gammaproteobacteria; Enterobacterales; Enterobacteriaceae
Also listed under: 8 other names
Description: tRNA-Xxx
Rfam family: tRNA
About the family: Transfer RNA (tRNA) molecules are approximately 80 nucleotides in length.
Source: RNAcentral
GCAGUUGACUUUUAAUCAAUUGGUCGCAGGUUCGAAUCCUGCACGACCCACCA